Molecule: unclassified non-coding RNA, 386 nt
Filed under: uncultured Verrucomicrobiae bacterium
Lineage: Bacteria; Pseudomonadati; Verrucomicrobiota; Verrucomicrobiia
Description: contains 16S-23S intergenic spacer region
Source: RNAcentral
UCCUCGUUUAAGCGAGGCAGUCCAUUUCGAGUGCUCUUCGCUUGCGCGAAGGUGGCAACAAAAUGCAAGGGUUGCGCUCGUUGCGGGACUUAACCCAACAUCUCACGACACGAGCUGACGACAGCCAUGCAGCACCUGUGUAUGCUGGUAUUGCUACCUCGUCACCCUUUCAGGCUUCUACUACAUACAUGUCAAGGCUAGGUAAGGUUCUUCGCGUUGCAUCGAAUUAAGCCACAUACUCCACCGCUUGUGCAGGCCCCCGUCAAUUUCUUUGAGUUUUAGUCUUGCGACCGUACUCCCCAGGCGGCGCACUUAACGUGUUAACUUCGCCACAAACGGGUUCGAAUCCGCUUACAGCAAGUGCGCACCGUUUACAGCUAGGACUA